UGGAAGUAAAAGUCGUAACAAGGUUUCCGUAGGUGAACCUGCGGAAGGAUCAUUACCAAUUCAACGGUGUGGUCGCGGCCUCCGGGGGCUCCCCCCGGGCGGUAGAGGUAACACUCUUACGCGCCACAUGUCUGAAUCCUUUUUUUACGAGCACCUUUCGUUCUCCUUCGGUGGGGCAACCUGCCGUUGGAACUUAUCAAAACCUUUUUUGCAUCUAGCAUUACCUGUUCAGAUACAAACAAUCGUUACAACUUUCAACAAUGGAUCUCUUGGCUCUGGCAUCGAUGAAGAACGCAGCGAAAUGCGAUAAGUAGUGUGAAUUGCAGAAUUCAGUGAAUCAUCGAAUCUUUGAACGCACAUUGCGCCCCUUGGUAUUCCAUGGGGCAUGCCUGUUCGAGCGUCAUCUACACCCUCAAGCUCUGCUUGGUGUUGGGCGUCUGUCCCGCCUCUGCGCGUGGACUCGCCCCAAAUUCAUUGGCAGCGGUCUUUGCCUCCUCUCGCGCAGCACAUUGCGCUUUAGAGGGGUGUGGGCCGCGUCCACGAAGCAACAUUAUCGUCUUUGACCUCGGAUCAGGUAGGGAUACCCGCUGAACUUAAGCAUAUCAAUAAGCGGAGGA
This 617-nucleotide ribosomal RNA is filed under the name Pleosporales sp. LH224. RNAcentral's name for it is "eukaryotic LSU rRNA". The stretch from base 250 to 403 matches the Rfam family "5.8S ribosomal RNA". Lineage: Eukaryota; Fungi; Ascomycota; Dothideomycetes; Pleosporales. The record is from RNAcentral.